AAGUCAUGAUGAGGGCACUGCUUUUGUAGACUCUUGAAUCUAAUGCAUGCUUCAAAUAAUUAUUCUCCAUCUGCUUGAGCAAAAUUUAUGAUGUAAUUCAUCAUGU
Zingiber officinale is the source of this 106-nucleotide small nucleolar RNA. Lineage: Eukaryota; Viridiplantae; Streptophyta; Magnoliopsida; Zingiberales; Zingiberaceae. The record is from RefSeq and is a predicted model, not a curated record.